GCCUCUAUAGCUCAGUUGGUUAGAGCACUGCACCAGAAUCGCAGGGCCGUAGGUUCAAUUCCUACCAGAGGAC
RNAcentral lists this transfer RNA (73 nucleotides) under Paramuricea clavata. It matches the Rfam family "tRNA". Rfam says of the family: Transfer RNA (tRNA) molecules are approximately 80 nucleotides in length. Their secondary structure includes four short double-helical elements and three loops (D, anti-codon, and T loops). Lineage: Eukaryota; Metazoa; Cnidaria; Anthozoa; Malacalcyonacea; Plexauridae. The record is from Rfam by way of RNAcentral.